RNAcentral lists this ribosomal RNA (464 nucleotides) under uncultured bacterium. RNAcentral's name for it is "bacterial SSU rRNA". It matches the Rfam family "Bacterial small subunit ribosomal RNA", at positions 28 to 507 of the family's 1533-position model. The record is from RNAcentral.
GACGAACGCUGGCGGCGAGCCUAAUACAUGCAAGUCGAACGCACUCGGACCUUCGGGUCCACAUGAGUGAGUGGCGAACGGGUGAGUAACACGUGAGGAACCUGUCCCGGAGAUCGGAAUAACCACGGGAAACCGUGGCUAAUACCGGAUACCCCCAUCGGACCGCAUGGUCUGAUGUGGAAAGCUUUGGCGCUCUGGGAGGGCCUCGCGGCCUAUCAGCUAGUUGGUGAGGUAACGGCUCACCAAGGCAUCGACGGGUAGCUGGUCUGAGAGGACGGACAGCCACACUGGGACUGAGACACGGCCCAGACUCCUACGGGAGGCAGCAGUAGGGAAUCUUGCGCAAUGGGCGAAAGCCUGACGCAGCUACGCCGCGUGAGGGAUGACGGCUCUCGGGUUGUAAACCUCUUUCAGCAGGGACGAAAAUGACGGUACCUGCAGAAGAAGCUCCGGCCAACUACGUG